This 23687-nucleotide long non-coding RNA is filed under the name Selaginella moellendorffii. RNAcentral's name for it is "long non-coding RNA (SMOE_LNC001174)". Lineage: Eukaryota; Viridiplantae; Streptophyta; Lycopodiopsida; Selaginellales; Selaginellaceae. The record is from RNAcentral.
CCUCCUGAAGCUUUUCAAUGUUUUCUCACAAAGCAAAGCAGAUCUAACCUCAGCCCAAGUGUUCAUAAGCUUAAAAACAAAUUCUCGCAAGUUUCGAGAGACAUCCAUACUCGCCUCCUCCUCGUAAACCAUUCUUCUCAAUGUUUUCUCACGAAGCAACGUCAGAAGAAUUAUUAUAAAUGCCCGCAGAGAAGGACAAACGCCAAUGAAAAUGAGAAAACAUCACCCCACACGACAUCCAUACCUCGCAUUGAUCCUAUCAUCGAACGAAAAACUCUAAACGAAAUAGUCAAUUUGCUCAUAGUGGCGACCUCUUUGCCAAAUGACCAUGUUUAAAAGGUGGGCUGGCGAUCGAGAGAGGCAGAUUUGAGCACCCAAUGGAGUUUCUCGUGGCUGCGCUUGCGCUGUGUGUGAUCUUGGCAGGAGUGAUGAUCGACGGAUCGGUGGUGAGCGAUAUUGUCCAGCCGAUCGACAUCCCAAAGGACGCUGUCAAAUGCGCUCACCCCCUCGUCAAUGCCGAGUUCUCGGGAGCUUCUCCGCUGAUCGAGGUGAGUUUCUCAUCAUGGUUUCUCACACGAAGAACGUUUCCAUCCAGACUAGCUACGCGCCUUCCACCCAAUGCGGGAGCGCUUGGACCAAGAUCGUCCUCGAGCUCACCGGUUUUUGCAAGGGAUCGUCCAAGGAGCAAAAAAUCGGUGGAGUGUGGCUGGGUGGCGCUCAGAUCCUCCACGCGAGCACCCCUCUCCCGACACCGGAGGGGACAAACUGGACGAUCCAAAGGGACGCCACCAGUUUCGAAUCUCUCUUUCUAUCCAGCUCAAAUCUCUCGCUCAUCUUCUUGGAUGUCACCGCCUCCUCCUCCACGAACUCGUCACUGCCAUCGACGAAAUCUUCCUACAGAAUUAGCGUCACAGCCAACUUCUACUUGUUCAAGGAAUCCACAGCCGAAAUUAUCGAUCAAGCUCGCGGAAGUCGCCGAUUCUUCUCACCCCUGGCAGGAACAUCGGCCGGUUUGUUCCCGCCCCUCGCUGUUCUCCCGAUCCAUCCACCACCCUCCAACUCCACCGGGCUUUGGUUCGUAUUCCAAAACGAUCAGGAAUCCUCCGCCAUGGUGACCCUCCGACCGUCGUCAGUGCUCGCUUGCAGGUCUUCGUUUCCUCGCAUGGUGACGACGAGUUUUGGUACAAGAAGGGAAGCUCCCCGGAGAUGCGAGAGUUGGUGGUCAUUCUCGACGGUGCUGUGGUGGACGCGAUCUGGCCGAGCCCGGUGAUCUACAGCGCUGGGAUCAAUGCAUCCUACUGGGAGUCUGUUGGAUCCAUCGGUGCCUUGAACUCUCCUGGCUACGACGUCAUCUUGGACGCGUUUGCUCCUGUUCUAGCCGAUGGAAAGCCCCAUAAGCUUGGAUUUCGAGUGACCGGAGCCACCAGCAUCUGGGUGCCAGUUUGCUCAAGCCAAAAGAACAUUGAACAAAUGAAAAUAAUCAGGGCACAAUGCAAGGCCCAAAAAAUAUUCAAAAUACAUUGCUCAAGGAAACACUUCAAAAAAAUUAUUCAAUGAGUCUGAGGUGUUAUAGAAAUUUAUCUAAGAGCUUGACCAUGACAAGAAGGUAAGUAUCCAACUUUAUUAUUAUUUAAAUAUUUUGCCUUUAACCAUAUAUUACUAGGGGUAUAUAAAAAUUCAGUAACAAUUAUGUCUUUAUAAAGAUGAAUUUAGAAGCAUUUAGUAUUUGGCUUAACAUGUGAAAUUUAACUUUUUGAACUUUUUUUUUUAGUUCAACUACAUGAUCCAGUUAACUAAUAAUGUUUCAAUAUAACAAUGUUAAUGAAAAAACAUCUCCAAUGCGUGGUGCCUUGCUUGGUGUGAACUUCGGAGUGCCCAUGCCGUUGGAUUCAUUCGCUCGUAAUGUUUCAGGAUUUAGUAUAAUGUUAUUAUCAAAGAAUGGUAAUCUUUAUUAGGAGUUGAAUAAGCUUUAGCACUAGAUGUUAAAAACUAGGAAGUGGAGUGGACUUUAUAUUACAUACACAAUUUAGACAAAAAUUAUAACACUCUUGAGUAUAUUUCAAUUUUGUGCAUAGAACUAUUAAAUGGGCAACUAUUAGAGCACAUGUGUACAAUCACAAGUAAAUUGUUUAACAUGAAUAUGAAAUAUUAGAUAUUGAAUAAUUUUUACAAGAUUAAGAAAGUUCUCAUUAUUGUCACUUGUGAGUUCAAACAAGAAAAUAGUACAUUGCAAAAAUUAUUCUGACAAUACUUAAUAAUAUUUAUUAGCAAAAAACUAGAAAUAUAUCAAUAUUUACUUCAGUGAAAAUUGAAAUGCAAUUUAUAAAAUUUACUUCAAAGGUGAACCAUGCUUUGAAAAGGAGUACUUUUAUGUUUUUCACUUUAAACAAAGUCUCCAAAUUCACAUUAAAAAUAUAUUUUAAUUGAAUAUCAAUCAUCACAUAUUGAAUUAUGUAAAAACUAAAGGUUAGUGACCAUAAAAAAUGAGAUCACAAAAUACUUUAACAAGAUUUUAAAAUGGUGGGAGGGGAAGGUUGACAUGAAAAAUAAAGAAUAUUUUCUUCCUAGAUUGGUUGGUGGCAUUCACAUAUUGCAAGAUGGGGGAAUUUCAUUCACUUGGUACAAAAUUUUGUAUGUUAAUAUUCAGUUAUAAAUGUGUUGUAGAGUAAAUCAGAUAUUGAAUUGGCAUUCAUCUCAAACACAAAUUAUUUUGAGAUGAAACAUGCAAGUUGGUUGGCGAGCAAAAAAUUCAAAGCAAAAACAUCUUUAUAUACUUGUUGUAAUGAUUUAUGUGAGGCUUUCAUGCAAAUCACAACAUAUUUGUAGUGCACCCUAUUGAGCCUCUAUUUCCACAUUGAAUUUUCCUUUGUGUAGACUAGUUAUUUCAUAUAAGGCAAUUAGUCAUCCUAGGGUGGAUACUUUUGUAAGCAUGGAUGCCUAAUACAUAUGAUUUCAAAUUAAGGGGUAGAAGUAUAGAUUUCAAAUUUAGAGGUAGAAAUAUACCUUGUUCAAGUAUAUAUUAUAUUUUAAGUUGCCACUAAUCAAUAGGAAUCAAACUUGUGCCAUUUACUUUGAUACCACAUAAAGCACACUUUUUAAACCAACUAGAAAAAGGAUAAUUGCUUAAUGAGAUAGCCCUUAGUGGCUAUUUUAUCCCCAUUUAUCCCCUAAAGUUCCAAGAAUUCACAGUGACAGUAUAUCCAAAUUUCAUCCCAUGAUCACAUGUGCUACAAUAUUAAACAUUCCUUAAUAGAAAAGUUAUAGAGACAAGCCUAGGAUUUUGAGAGUUGUUAAGCAAACAUAAAAAAACUCCUAAAAACUAUGACAAGCACAAAAAGGAGGAUGCAUUGAAUAUUAUUUGUGCAACAACAUCAAUAAGAGUGCAUUCAUUUCAACAAAACAAAAGUGGCAAUCAAAAAAUAAUUUAUAACAAACAAUCAAAUAUCACUUUUAGAUUUAUAGUGAACAACAAUCAUAGACCCAAAUAUAGUACAACGAAUGUUCUUGUGUGAGAAUAUAGCUCCAGAUGAACCAUUGAUUUUAAUAGUCACACAAUAAGUAUCACAAUUCUUGAUGAACAAUCAUAAAUCAUUGAAGAGAAAGUUCAUAAAACAUUAUGAGCUAUUUGACAAGUGGAGAAAAGGAUUAUUGUAACGCACGUGAAUUUGAAGUCGAACUCCAAGCCCGUUGCACUACAAACGAGAGUCUAGUACAAUCCUACGAGCACUAGCUUCCUGUAUCCAACACUUGCACGCAAAAUGGUGUUAGAUGGAGUCUGGCAUAAUUUUGGCAUACCGGUGGCCUAACGCGAGGAGGUGGUACCCCACUGACUAGAGCAAUAUGGAGCUUGGGCUUAGACCCAAGUUGGACGCAGAACAAAAAGUGACAUAGCCCAGCGGGAGCCAAACUAAUAUCUUAAGUGGUCAGACAUGCAUUCCAACCACUAUCUCUAUUAUACAUUUAGAACCCCCCACAACCCCCUCCCCUCCCUUAAAGACAUACGCCUUGGGCUUUCACUCCAAGCCUCUCUUAUUACCAUGAGUUAGUCUUUGGGACAACUUUGAAACUUAUUAAAUAUGGAAUGUCCUUAGAAUGAGAAUUUGGACAUAGGACAUACACUAUUGUGUUCAGGCCAAUGUUUACAUUCUAUAGAUAUGCCAAAUGAGCAAAUCUAGACACUUUCUAUAAAUAGCAUUUGGAACCGAAAUGAGACUAACACAAAAGGCAUGAUAGCGAAGGUGUUUGGUAGACAUGGUAAGCUAUCAUUUAGCGAAUAUUGAGGGAUUAGUCUCAAUAUCGCAGGAGUUCUUAACAUUAACAAGUGCAAGUCAACGAAUGAGUUUUUCUAACUAGGUCAAUGUGAGACACAAAAUCCCUAGGCCCCAAAGUGGAGAUGAAAGGGUGCCAUGUGGUAGUGGCCGAAGCUAAAGCCAAACGAGCAUAACACAUUUGGACUAAAAACUCCAAUUUGAAAAGGUCGAGAGUGGGAGUGGAACUCCCAAUGAAAUGCUCAAGGAAUGAGCACGAAGUGAGCAAUAAGCGAGGCUCCAAAAAGGGACCCAAAAGGACCAACACAUGACACGUGGAAGUGUCUGAGAUGGACCCGAGUUAGGGUCUAAAGUGGAGUCCGAAGUGGAGUCCGAGACGGAGUCUGAGAUGGACCCGAGAUGGAGUCUGAGAUGGACCCGAGAUGGAGUCCGAGAUGGAGUCCAAGAUAGAUCCGAGAUGGAGUCCGAGAUGGACCCGAGAUGGAGUCCGAGAUGGAGUCCGAGAUGAAGUCUAAGAUGGAGUCCGAGAUGGAGUCCGAGAUGGACCCGAGAUGGAGUCCGAAGUUGAGACCGAGACUGGGACCGAGACCGGGACCAAGACCGAGACCGAGACCGAGAUCGGGACCGAGACCGAGUCCGAGUCCGAGUCUGAAUCCGAGUCCGAGUCUGAGUCCGAGUCUGAGUCCAAGUCUGAGCUCGAGUCUGAGAGGGUGAAAGCCCAAAGCGUUCGUCUCCCAGACCCUAGGGGGUUUGAUGAGCUCCAAAAGUAUAGUGAGGGGGAGGACUACAGUGGAGCCAGUUUGGCCCAGGAAGGCCGGACCCAGUGUUGGGUGAUGAGCUGCCCAUUGGGAAGUCCAAGACUAGAGUGAACACGGACCGACAAGUGGGAUAGCUUGGUGAAGUGUUCAAGAGCCGGCUCUAGUUCCCCCGGGAGAUCAACUGGCCGAUGCUUCCAGUCCAAGUGUGGGUGGCACUACCUACUUGGAUACUUGUCGUGGCUCAACGAAACCUCGCUCUAAGCCCAUGGCUAGAGCACCUAAAGGCGAAAGGCGGGGAGAGUACCCAUGAGGCCUGCGUAGGGCCACGGUGUUCCGAAAUGGUGUCCCAAAGUCCCAGACUGUGGAAAGGAAAAGGAGUAGCCCUUUGGUGUGGUGACCAAGGACAUAAUCACAUGGUGAGGAAGUCCCAGAGGACCAUGGGACUAAGUGGUCGGGCCUAUGGGCUUUGCCCCAGUGACAGUGUUGGCAAACAUGGCUAUGGACAGAAAGAGACUUGGUGAGGACUGGAAAAGAGGUAUUGGGGAAGGCUAUUCCCCAUGUUUGUAGGCAUCCUAAGGAUGUUAAAGAGUGGAUCUGGGAUGAUCACUCAUGGACGGAUGACCCAGUCUUUGAGAGACGGUUUUGCAAUGCAUGUGGUGUUGGACCACUAGUGUGACCAAGGUAAAUGGGCAUGGCCUUAGCGUAAUGGGCUGAUACGUCAGUGGUACCUUGGGGUGUCGAUCAUGGGAUCGGACACGUGGAGCACCUGGACUAAGUGCUAAGGUUGAGUGGCAUAGAUGGCAUUCUCGGGGCUAGCAAGCCCCAAGUCCUGAAUGGGACUUAUGAAGGUUAUGAGUGAGACUCCUCCAAGUGGUCGAAGGUGCGGUUAAGUGACUAAAGUAGAAUGGAAAAAUUAGUCGCUUACAACUUGGUAUCGGAGCUGUUCCUUAAUCCGACUUUUAUUGGUGCUCAAGUAUAUCACCAUUGAUGUUGGCAUCGAAAGGUCCUAGGAGUGGGCCUGUCCUUGAGGAGUAGCAUGUCGAGAGGACAUGGCUCUCCACUCAAGUUCACGCGUGAACUUGGGCACAAUGUGGUGGAUAGAAAAGGGCCAAUAAUGGAACAACUUUGGGAUCUUGGGAACAGUAUAAGGUUUCCUCAGAGAGCUGAGGAUGUGAUCCAAAUGAGCGUUUGACGCAGCAAACGGGCUAACGUAGUUGUGGUAAACAACUAUAGUUGGGAUCACGGGAAAGAUGUAGACUCCAAAACAAUAAAGGAGUCACAAGAUUACCCUCAUAUAGUUGAGGCUGGUGCUCAUAACAUUGAGACCAAAAUUGAUGACCAUGGGAGGUCAAAUACAGAAGAGGACACAAGUCCUUGAAAUGGUAGCCGGGGCUACCUUUAACAAAUGCUGGAACAACCCAAGGAGUUGGGGGUGUACUCAGAGGAUGAGUUGGUAUUCUCAUCACAUGGACAAGUGGUCCUAAGGGGCAAGAGGUUGCCCCAAGAGAACAAAUCAAGUGUCGGAAUAACACUUGCAAAAAUGGUCCUUGUGAGUAGGACCUGAAUACAAGAAGUUGUAUUCCAGCGAGUUGGCACCUCGAAGACUAAGACCUCGCAGAUCGUUGGAUUAGCAAAGUCUAAAAUGCUAGAUGACUCAAGUGGAGUCAGGGAAUGGUCCUAAGGGAUUGGUUGAAGCAUUUGGACUGAAGUGUAUGGGCCCCAUGAGGUAUGAGGAGGAUCAUCAGAUCCAAGUAUGAGAACAGUAGGUAUCUCAUUGAUGGUAGAAUAUGCCAUGCUAAAGUUGUGGGGAAAAUGUUCCCAGAAGAAAGCAACUUUAGCCCAGAGUUGGGUGCAAACACUAUGGUGCAGUGCUAACGGAUAGUUAGUAUGAGGAACAACUAUAUUGGUCUUGGCAAAGACCUAGACACUAAUAAAUAGUGUCAUAAGGAUAGGCUCGUGGGGCCAAUGGUGUGGAGAUACCAAAUGUGCCAAGGGGUGAUACUUUGAGGUUAUGUUGGUGAGUUCAUAAGAACCCCUUGCCAAGGGAAUCCUAACGGAAAUGGGAAUGAUAUAACCUAAGCUGGAAGGCAUGUGGUAGAGUGUGGUGACCAAAAACAAUGAUGGAAGUGUGGAAGCACCAGCAAUGAGUUGCAGGACUUGACAACUAUGAGGCAACUAAGCAAAAAGUGCAAGAUAAUUGGUUAAACUGGUAGAAGGUAGCUACCCAAGACUUCUUAAUGGCAUAAAAAAGUUAGAUAUACCCUUAUAGGGGAUAAAUUGCUUAGGUUGCAAAAUAGUAAGUCGAUGUCGUAAAAGGGAAUGCUCAUUGUCAAAAAGGCCAUCAUUUGGGACACCCAAACACUCUAGAACACUAGGAGGUGGUGUUUGAGGUCGCGAGGGCAAUAGAUAAGGCCCAAGGGACUAAGUCCCUAGUGAAUGAUAGAUAGAAGAUGCUAUUCAAAUGUCCAAGGUUGUGGAGACAGGAGAAUACUGUCUACCCGAAUUGGACAAAGCCAAAAAUGGAAUUUUGGCAAGGCUAGUGAUGGGCAUGUAAGGGCCCAUAAGCAACAACGUUAAUCCUGGUGUGUAGGAUUAUAAGGUGAGCAUAUCUGAACCACUUCCUAGGCUAUUUAGUCGGUUCAUCCCUAAGAAUACUUGCUAAGGCAUGAUAGAAAGUGCAAAGCUAUCCUUUUAGUCUAGAGGAGAAUGACCGAAGGAAAGGUGUGAAGCCAAAAGCAAGUAGUAAAAGGAUAGAACCGAACCAUAAGAAUUGAUAGGCAUGACCAAGGGUGGCUAUGCAAGUUGUAAGUGGAGAAUCAAGUGGGCGCUCAAGCAUGUUGUUACUAGCAACCAGGAUGCCAUGGAGAGUCAAAAACAUGGGAUUGUCCAUGUUAGGCUAUAUGGUAAUUGGAAAGCUUGCAAAAGGAAAGACCUUAGCAAGCUAAGGAACAAAGUUCCUUGAAAGUUCCCCUAGGUAGUUAAGUACUUAGUCAACCAAGUGUAAAUGGUUCAUAGAACACGCAAAAUCAGAGUAGCGUAGCAGAAGUGUGGUCUUGAAGCUUGCCAUGAGGCAAAGCUAUCAAGGUUGGGGAAGUAGUUCCUGAGUGUUCAAAGAGAGGGCUUUGAACGCAAGUCGAUGGUUAAGGAUUUUCACGUUUAUGCAUGAACCAUGUUACAGUAGCCGAAUGACUUGCUAAGUGAAAUUGGCAAGUUGGGGGAAUGAAUACCCUAGUUGAAGGAGCCAACUUCAAAGGGGUGGCCCAUGGGGCCGAGCAUAGAGGAGUCCAUGCAUGAUCACAGACAUAUCAAGUGAGAGGACUUGGCAGUGCGGAGGAACUAGGUUCCUAAGCUGUGAUCUGUAGCGCGCUUUAAAUAUAAGUUGGCGCACCGGCGUGGGGAGUCAUACUAGGCAUCUUGUGUGAUGCUGUCCAUAGAUGCAUAUACGGAGGUUGGGUUUGAGUCCCGACCCUCUAGUGCUUGGGUUCGAAUCCCAAAUCACUAGGGUAUGGUGAUGGUUUGGAAUAUGAGAACACUCAUAUUUUGGUGGUCAUGGACUCUCAGUGGGGAGACUGGUUUGGGCACACCGCUAAGCAAGGGAUGCCUCGGAGUCGUGAUGCACGGUUAGAUUGCUUAGUGUGAAAGCUCGGCAUAUCUAACUUGAACUCUUUGGUGCAAGUGGCACCAAGGACGUGGUGAGUGAGAUAGAGACACCUAAUCUCAAUUGCUAUGGACCCUUGGCCGUAAGGGUUGGCUUGGGUGCACUGCUAAGUGUGGGGGAUGCCCCCGGGUUAUGGUCAACAACUUGAAGGUCUAGAAAACCAAGUACCUCUUGGCAACUCUGUUAAGGUGCUAAGGUUAGAUCACUAGGUGAUCUUAUGGCUAAAUAAGGACAAGAUCCUUGAUUGGCUAAGGAAUGAAGUUCCUGGUUAAAAAUGUUGAUUUGAACUAUUGAUGAUAGUGUGGCUUGGUCAAGGUGACCAAGUGAGAAGGACACCUAAGGGAAAUGAGAUAUGUCAAUGCGAUGGCAUAGUGAGUCCGAGGAAAAUAAUCUAUAUAAGAGACCCAUAAGAGGGUCACGAAGUUGGGCCAUGGAUAGAGCCCACAAUAGAAGUGUAAGCCAUAAAUUUUUCCUUUCCAAUUUGCCAGCUUACCUCGUCUAUCCGUCCGACACUGCCUUGGCUUUUGCUAAGUUCCCUUGCCAAGGUUCUCGCCUAUGGUACCAGCUCCUACUUGGUUUCAGCUACUCACUGCACGAGCAACGGAGUGUUAGCCAUCCUUCCACGGAUUCCCAAAUCACUCUCAAUCCCCCUCCCCGGGUUAGACUGGACUUAAGGUUCGGCUACACUCCCCGCAAGCACAAGCAGCCAAGCACACCAAGCUUCCAGGUUCCUAACAUCCCUUGGUACCACAAGACUUGAUCAUGGGACCCUCUAAAUCCCAAGUCUUGAGUGCAACACUUGCUUCGGGACGCCGGGGUGAAACACCGUGGCCUAACGGCCCGGUAUGGGUACCUCUCGCCCCCCACUUCCAUCCCGAAGGAAGGCCCAAGCCCCUAGGAAGGGCGAGGACCAAUGAGCCGCAUGGUACUCAAGUGGGGCACCACUCCACAUGAGCCGGGAGCACCGCAAUCGGUUUCCCUUUCGGGAGUGGGAGCUGCUCUUGAGCACUUCCUUGGAUGGCCCCUCCGGCACCAGCCAAGUCCAUGCUCACUCCCACCCAAGGCCCCUUAGUCCCAGUCCCAACCUCAAGUCGGUUUGGAAGCCCCACUGGAGAGUCCCUUCUAAACUGGUUCCUGGACCUCACUAUCCCUACUAUACUUUUGGAACCCCCUGCAGCCCCCCCCCCCCUGGGGGACGCACGCUUUGGGCUUUCACCCCUUGACCCGUAUUAGUAUUUGGACUUAGUCUCUGGCUCGAUCUCGGAUCCGAUUUCGGAUCCGACUUCGGAUUCGGUCUCGAACUCGAUCGCGGACUCGAUCUCGGACCCGAUCUCGGGCCCGACCUCGGACUCGACUUCAGACUCGGUCUCGGACCCGAUUUCGGAUCUCGGACUCCGUCUCGAACUCGGUCUCGAACUCGGACUUGAACUCGGUCCCCGAGUCGGUCUUGGACUCGAUUCCGGACUCUAUCUCGAACUCGGUCCUAGAGUCGGUCUUGGACUCGAUCUUUGACUUGGUCCCAUCCGAUGAACUCUUUGUCAUUUUGGUCAUGCUUUCGGGGUUCCCUUAGCCUACGACACCUCGGCGAGUUGGUUCUUUACAACUCCACCACCCAUAGAAGAAGUUCGAUGCCCACAUCGAACGUCUCUUUUUUAUCCUACGACUUGUUGACCAUGUCUCCGGGGGCAUCCCCCCACUUAGCGGUGUGCCUAAGUUAGCCUCCCCGGCCAAGAGCUCAUGACAACGGAAUAUAGGUGUCCCUAUACUCCUCCCCUCACCACGCCCUAGUAUGGGGUCGGGACUUGAUCCCAGCCUUGCUUUACUAGGGGGUUGGGACUCGAACCCAACCUCCGUAGAAUACGUCUACGGUUUCGACAUCCCCGCAGGGAGUCGGGCGUAGCUCCCUACGCCUGGUCGACCUAGCUAACCCAUGCUAAUUAGCUUACCUUCGGCGCGCCUUCGGGUCCCAACAUAUGCCAUUGCUCAACUUCUCAAAUUGAUACUUUUAAUUGAACUUUGCAUAAGUACAUAGAGUUCUGCCAUGCAGAAAUUCCUCCACUAGAUCUCGCGUGUUCGCUAGGUUCUCCUCCGGUUCCCAUGUUGCUUCGCAGUGUGGAAAUCCUUUCCACUUCACAUGGAACUCUCUCACCUCGCGUCCGUGUCGCUUGCUUUUGCGCGCAUUGAGGAUGGCCUCGACUUCGUAUUCCUCCUCCCCUUGGAUAACCUCAGGUAAAGGUCUUACUUGGUCCUUGCGAAGCGGAUCCUCAAAAUACGGCUUGAGUAAGUUCACGUGGAACACGGGAUGUAUCUUCCCCAUCUCUCGAGGAAGUCGGAGACGGUAAGCCACUUUACCGAUUCGAGCCUCAAUCUCGUAAGGCCCCGCGAACCUGCUUAAGGAACUCAAGAUCAAUUCAUUUACAGGAACACAUGCAUUUUUACCUUUGGGUCAACUUCCGGCUGAUCCCACUUGGUAGCCUGAGGUUCUUGGUGUUCAGCCACACCUUCUCCCCAGCUUGGAACUCCACAUCUCGACGCUUUUGGUUCGCGUACUUAGUUUGCUUUUGUUGAGCCCGUUCCAAGGAAUCCCUCACUAGAUUCCAAAUGUUGAGUCUUUCCGCCGUGAAUGCCUCCACUGCGGGUAACUCUCCAUGAUACUCGGCCACGCCGAGUUCCACAGGACCUUCAAUAGCUCGCCCAUUGAUGACUUCCCAUGGACUCACCCCGAUGCUCGAAUGUGGUGAGUUGUUAUAACACAUUUCCGCAAGUCCCAAAUGACUUACCCAGUCGGUCUGGUCUCCCGAGACAUAGCAUCGCAAAUAAUCCUCCAGCUGCCUAUUCACCCUUUCCGUUUGUCCGUCUGUCAAGAAGUGUUAGUGCCAUCAAUCUUGACUCAAUACCCAUUACCUGUCUGUGGGUGAUAGGCCGUGCUGAAUUUCAACUUGGUGCGAUACUGUUCUAGGAGCGUCCUCCAGAACCUACUGGUGAAGAUCUUAUCUCGAUCUAAGAUAAUCUCUUCCGGCCUUCCCCGCACUCGGACCACUUGUUCAAAGAACAGCUUUGCCACACCUUCCGCAUCCACAUCCGUUGUGGUGGGUAUGAAAUGUGCCAUCUUUGAAAAUCGGUCCACCACCACGAAUAUCGCAUCGAACCCCUCGCUUGGGGGUAGUCCCGUGAUGAAGUCCAUCGUGAGACAUUUCCACGGACGAUCUGGAAUGGGGAUGCUUUGCAACAAGCCCCCACUAGCCUUCGUCACGGCUUUGACCUGCUGACAUGUUGGACAUGUCUUUACAUAGUCUUGGACGUCCUUAGCCAUAUCUGGCCAGUGAUACUUCCUUUUGAGUAAGCCCAUCGUCUUGGGCACUCCGCCGUGUCCCGCGAAAGGUCCGUCAUGACACUCUUCCAAGGCUACCUUCCUUAGUUCCCCUUCUGGAACAUACACCCUCGUUUGCUUGUAAUAUAUGAGUCCGUUGCGUUCCGCAUAGCCCGUUUUCUCUUCCGUUGGCAGCUCACCUCUCUGGUGAGCUUCCCGUGCCUCCAGAUUCCUCAGCAACACUUCUUGUGCUAGACCAUCACUCUCGUAUGCGGUCCGCACCUCGUCCCAAAAGGUUGCUGUCGCGCUAGAUAUCGCCAACUUCAAGCUCGCUUUUCGACUUAGCGCAUCUGCCACGAUGUUGCUCUUCCCAGGCUUGUACAGGAUCUCGCAAUCAAACUCGGCCAAAGCAUUGGCCCACCGACCUUGUUUUCCCCUUAGGUCGGGCUGUGACAAGAAGUGUUUCGUUGCCACAUUAUCCGUGUAAACCUUGAAGUGUCUCCCAAGGUAGUGUCGCCACUCCUUGAGCGCCUUGACCACCGCAAACAAUUCCUUCUCGUGGGCAGGCCACUUCCGUUGAGCCUUGUCCAGCUUCUUCGAGAAGAAUGCUACUGGAUGGUUGUCUUGCUUCAAAACUGCGCCCAACGCAAAGUCCGAAGCAUCCGUGUCUACCUCAAAGUCCUUACCAAAGUCUGGUAAUGCCAACACCGGAGCCUUCCUCAACUUCCCUUUGAGGUGGAUGAAUGCCGCCUCGCAUUCCGCUGUCCAUACCAUCUUCCCUUUUCCUGUUUGGUCCGUUAAGGGCAGGGCUACUCUCGAAUAGUGUCUGAUAAACUUUCGAUAGUAGUUGCAUAGCCCCAGGAACGCCCUCAACUCAUGUACAUUCGAUGGUCGUUCCCAUUCCUGGAUCGCUUGGACCUUCUCCGGGUCCACCUUGAGCCCGUCUUGGCCCACCACAUGCCCGAGAAACUUUACCUCUUGUUGAGCAAAGUCACAUUUGCUCUCUUUAGCAUACAGUUUGUGUUCCUUUAGUUUCUCAAACACCUUCGCCAAGUGUUCGGCAUGCUCCUCUAGCGUCUCGCUAUAGAUCAGGAUGUCGUCAAUAUAGACGACCACGAAGCGAUCCAGAUAGGGUACAAAGAUGUGGUUCAUCAACGCCGAAAACGUUGCCGGCGCAUUGCACAGCCCAAAGGGCAUCACCAAAAACUCAAAGCUCCCAUACCUCGUUCGACAGGUUGUCUUCUCGACAUCUUCCUCAGCUACCCUGAUCUGGUAGUAUCCUGACCUUAGGUCAAUCCUCGAGAAGUAUUUUGCCUUUCCCAACCUAUCGAACAGGUCCUCGAUCCUUGGCAAAGGGUACUUGUUCUUCUUGGUAUACUUGUUGAGCAACCGGUAGUCUAUGCACAUGCGCAUAGAUCCAUCUUUCUUUUUCACAAAUAGCACCGGCGCCCCAUACGGCGACUUGCUCAACCUAACAUACCCUUUGUCCACCAACUCCUCUAGUUGGCUCUUGAGCUCCUUGAGUUCUUUUUCGUUCAAUCGAUAGGGUGGACGAACCACCGCCUCAGCACCCUCGACCAGCUCAAUCUUAUGUUCUAUCGGUCGUGCGGGGGGCAACCCCACCGGUAGCUCCUCCGGCAUCGUAUCCUGGAAUUGGUCCAGCACCUGCUGGAUCACUAAAGGUACUUCUUCCGUUCUUGUCUUUUUGUCACUCUUCACCGCGAGUAAGCACAAAAAGGCUACCUUAGUUCCUUUAGUGAGUUGUCCUCUCGUGGACACCAGGUUUAAGCAUGACUCUUUGGCCUUGCUUUGCCCUACCUUUAGAUCCUGGGCCUCCACCCUAGAUCUUCUUCCUUGGGCAUUCGCCAAUACCACAAGGUUCCUACCUUGUCCAUGCAGGGCUACCACGAACCGAUUAAACCAAUCCAUUCCGAAGAUCACGUCAAAUCCCGCCAUGUCCAAGACGGUGAAAUCCAUGUCCACUUUCCAUGUCCCCACUUCGACUCUCGCUUGUCGAAGUACCUCAUCGGUGCUUUGGCUACCUUGAACAAACUCUAUAGUCCUUGGUUCGCCUAGCCGCUGCACCGUUAGUCCGGCUUGCCGGACUAUGUCUGCAGCCACAAAAUUAUCCGAAGCACCCGUGUCAAUAAGGAUCUUAACAAAGCUACCUCCGAGCUUCCCUCGGAGGGCUAGUAGAUGUCGCGAACGACUCUCUACCAAAGUUGCUCGUGUAAUGAGUAACUUUGAGUUAGGGACUGGAUCACAUACCUCAGUUUGGACUUCACCCGACUUGAUGGCCAUAUUGGCUCUGGCCUUCUUCGGGUAGGGACAUUCCCUCGAGAAGUGUCCCGCUUCGCCGCAGUUGUAGCAUACGUUGUUUCCCACGCUGCUAUACGACUUGACCUUCUUAUCUGUGGGUUUGUCUUUUUUCGCUUGACUCCCCCACGUACUCGCUCGCUGGCCACCGGAUUUGCCUUUCCGGAACCCCGAGGACUCAUUCUUAGAGAAACUCUUUUUGAAUUUCCCCUUGCUAUACGUUCCCCUCGGUUUGGCCCCUUUGUGAAACGUGGAUCCCGACCCCGUCGUGUUCCCCUUUCGCAGGUUAUCGUUGAAAUGCACCUUGAUGGCCGCAUCCAACGCUUCCUUGUAGUUGGUCGGGUUCCAGCGCAUCACCUCACCGCGAGCCCAGGUUUGCAAACCUGAUAUAAAGGCAUGGAACGCAUCCAUAUCCCCCAUGUCCGUGACAAGUAUCCUCUUUGCCAUGAACCCAUUCACAUAUUCCUGGAUGGUUCCAGUCUGCUUCAGCCUACUCAACUCAUCUCUCAGAUGCAGAGUGGCAUUUGGAGGAACGUAUGUCGCGCGGAUCCUCACCUUCAUCAUGUCCCAGGUGGCCACCGGUCCUUCGUUGGCCUCCGUUGUUCUCCACCAAGACUUGGCAUUAUCUGCCAAGUAUGGUUUUGCACAUGGGACCUUCUCCGAGCUCGGUAACCGCAACGCUCGGAAGUAGUCCUCCAUAUCGUAAAACCAAUCCUCCACAACCUUAUAGUCGUUCACUCCCUUGAACACCGGUGGGGGCUUUGGUUUGUACUUGGGAACUGCCUGAGGGACUGAUUCCACUUCGGUCUGUUCGACCUUGUCUGGUUUUGCCUCAGUCCCUGCCGAAGGGUCCGCACCUUCUGCACUGCCAGCAUCCGCAGUCUUUCGCUUUUUCCUCCGCUUCUCGUCACGCUUUAACUUGCGUACGAGAGUCUCCAGCAGGGCAUUGGUCUGUGCCAACUGUCCUUCUAGCACGUCCAAUCGAGCCUUGGACGACCGAACCUCGCCACCGGACUCCUGUUUGGAAGUUUCCUCACUGGAGUCCUCCUCAUGCAAGGAUUCCUCAUCCAUAGCCUCUUGUUCAACCGGAGGCUCCAGCUCCGGCGGAGGUUCCGUCUCCGCCUGGGUUCGCUUACGCCCUGCCCUUGCCAUCUCCCAGCAAUCCACCUCUAUCCUUCGCUAGAACUGAGAUAAAGGCUCCGAUACCAAAUUGUAAGCCACAAAUUUUUCCUUUCCAAUUUGCCAGCUUACCUCGUCUAUCCGUCCGACACUGCCUUGGCUUUUGCUAAGUUCCCUUGCCAAGGUUCUCGCCUAUGGUACCAGCUCCUACUUGGUUUCAGCUACUCACUGCACGAGCAACGGAGUGUUAGCCAUCCUUCCACGGAUUCCCAAAUCACUCUCAAUCCCCCUCCCCGGGUUAGACUGGACUUAAGGUUCGGCUACACUCCCCGCAAGCACAAGCAGCCAAGCACACCAAGCUUCCAGGUUCCUAACAUCCCUUGGUACCACAAGACUUGAUCAUGGGACCCUCUAAAUCCCAAGUCUUGAGUGCAACACUUGCUUCGGGACGCCGGGGCGAAACACCGUGGCCUAACGGCCCGGUAUGGGUACCUCUCGCCCCCCACUUCCAUCCCGAAGGAAGGCCCAAGCCCCUAGGAAGGGCGAGGACCAAUGAGCCGCAUGGUACUCAAGUGGGGCACCACUCCACAUGAGCCGGGAGCACCGCAAUCGGUUUCCCUUUCGGGAGUGGGAGCUGCUCUUGAGCACUUCCUUGGAUGGCCCCUCCGGCACCAGCCAAGUCCAUGCUCACUCCCACCCAAGGCCCCUUAGUCCCAGUCCCAACCUCAAGUCGGUUUGGAAGCCCCACUGGAGAGUCCCUUCUAAACUGGUUCCUGCACCUCACUAUCCCUACUAUACUUUUGGAACCCCCUGCAGCCCCCCCCCCCUGGGGGACGCACGCUUUGGGCUUUCACCCCUUGACCCGUAUUAGUAUUUGGACUUAGUCUCUGGCUCGAUCUCGGAUCCGAUUUCGGAUCCGACUUCGGAUUCGGUCUCGGACUCGAUCGCGGACUCGAUCUCGGACCCGAUCUCGGGCCCGACCUCGGACUCGACUUCGGACUCGGUCUCGGACCCGAUUUCGGAUCUCGGACUCCGUCUCGAACUCGGUCUCGAACUCGGACUCGAACUCGGUCCCCGAGUCGGUCUUGGACUCGAUUCCGGACUCUAUCUCGAACUCGGUCCUAGAGUCGGUCUUGGACUCGAUCUUUGACUUGGUCCCAUCCGAUGAACUCUUUGUCAUUUUGGUCAUGCUUUCGGGGUUCCCUUAGCCUACGACACCUCGGCGAGUUGGUUCCUUACAAGAAGAUGCUAAAGAGACGUACUAGGGGUGAACAUCCUCCGGACUUGGCAAAGAAGAGUCUUUGCUAUGGAACCGAAGGGAUACCUCAAAAAUGGAGGUAGCAAUCUUAUGUUGCUAGGUGCAACAAUCAAGGAUAGGAGCAAAAGACUGUGGCUAAGUAAAAAGCCAUGGGAAUCAUGGGAAAGAAUCCAAAUGGCAAAGUUAAGCCAAAAACACUAAGGUGUUGGGUGCUAACGGAUUGUCGGAAAGGUAAUGUGUUCCCAAGGAUGGAUUCCCAAUUGCUCCAAUUUGGUGAAAGCGGAAGCUCCAAGGGUGGGAGCAGUAAGGUAGCUAAAUGAUAGGGCUGUGGACAGCCCUAGCACAAAAUAUGAUGAUUGGAACUUAGUGCCAAAGGUGGCAUGAAAUCGAACAAAGGAUGAUGGUGCCCUCAAGUAGAGAACUUCCUAGGAUGAGGAAGUGGAGUUGCAUAAUCUGUGCAAUACGAGGUGUCGGAGACAUCCAGGAAAUUGACUUCGAGAAGUCAGAAUUAAAAGUUCCAAAGUGCAAGGGUUAUAUCGAUGGAAAGUGAGACCACUCGAGAACGAGUAGUGGGAUCGAGUUAGAGAAGGUGUCUCUAACAGGUUUAGUGAGAACUAAACCAAUAAAAGGAGAGAACCACCACAAGUGGUCAAAUGAGCCUCUAAGUUGGAGAAGCUAUGCUCCUUAGAGGAUGGACAAAGCAUGGUGAGCCUUUAGUGUCAAACCAUAGACAAAUAUUGGCUAGGUGCCAAGGAUGGAAAUGGUAACACGUGUGGGUGUUACUUUAUGAAAGGGUUUAUCGUUUGAUGAGGACAUCGACCUUCGUCUAUGGGUGGUGGAGUUGUGAGACACAAAAUCCCUAGGCCCCAAAGUGGAGCCGAAAGGGUGCUAUGUGGUAGUGGCCGAAGCUAAAGCCAAACGAGUGUAACACGUUUGGACUAAAAGCUCUGACUUGAAAAGGUCGAGAGUGGGAGUGGAACUCCUAACGAAGUGCUUAAGGAACGAGCACGAAGCAAGCAAUAAACGAGGCUCCAAAAAGGGACCCAAAAGGACCAACACAUGACACGUGGAAGUGUCCGAGAUAGACCCGAGUUGGGGUCCGAAGUGGAGUCUGAGAUGGACUCGAGAUGGAGUCCGAGAUGGACCCAAGAUGGAGUCCGAGAUGGAGUCCGAGAUGGACCCGAGAUGAAGUCCGAAGUCGAGACCGAGACCAGGACCGAGACCGGGACCAAGACCGAGAUCGAGACCGAGAUCGGGACCGAGACCGAGACCGAGGCCGAGACCGAGACCGAGCUUGAGUCUGAGUUCGAGUCCGAAUCCGAGUCCGAGUCCGAGUCCGAGCUCGAGUCUGAGAGGGUGAAAGCCCAAAGUGUUCAUCUCCUAGACCCUAGGGGGUUUGGUGAGCUCCAAAAGUAUACUGAGGGGGAGGACUGUAGUGGAGCCAGUUUGGCCAGGAAAGGCCAGUUUGGCCCAGGAAGGCCAGACCCAGUGUUGGGUGAUGAACUGCCCAUUGGGAAGUCCAAGACUAAAGUGAACACGGACCAACAAGUGGGGUAGCUUGGUGAAGUGUUCAAGAGCCGGCUCUAGUUCCCCCGGCCGAUGCUCCCAGUCCAAGUGUGGGUGGCACUACCUACUUGGAUACCUGUCGUGGCUCAACGGAACCUCGCUCUAAGCCCAUGGCUAGAGCACCUAAAGGCGAAAGGCGGGGAGAGUACCCAUGAGGCCCAUGUAGGGCCAUGGUGUUCCGAAAUGGUGUCCCAAAGUCCCAGACUGUGGAAAGGAAGAGGAGUAACCCUCUGUUAUGGUGACCAAGGACAUAGUCACAUGGUGAGGAAGUCCCAGAGGACCAUGGGACUAAGUGGUCGGGCCUAUGGGCUUUGCCCCAGUGGCAAUGUUGGCAAACAUGGCCAUGGACAAAAAGGGGACCGGAAAAGAGGUAUUGGGGAAGGCUAUUCCCCAUGUCUGUAGGCAUCAUAAGGAUGUUAAAGAGUGGAUCUGGGAUGAUCACUCAUGGACGGAUGACCCAGUCUUUGAGAGAUGGGAUUGCAAUGCAGGUGGUGUUGGACCACCAGUGUGACUAUGGUAAAUGGGCAUGGCCUUAGUGUAACGGGCCAAUACGUCAGUGGUACCUUAGGGUGUCGAUCAUGGGAUCGGACACGUGGAGCACCUGGACCAAGUGCUAAGGUUGAGUGGUAUGGAUGCCAUUCUCGGGGUUAGCAAGCCCCAAGUCCUAAAUGGGACUUAUGGAGGUUGUGAGUGAGACUCCUCCAAGUGGUCGGAGGUGCGGUUAAGUGACUAAAGUAGAAUGGAAAAAUUAGUCACUUACAGUCAAGUAUGCUUGACAAAUAACAUGUAGGAAUUCCGUCCUUAUGCUCAUUUAGUCAAGUGCACACGUGAUGACCAGUUUCUCAACUAGCUUGAGUGGAGACCAUAAAAGGGACUAGUAGUACCAACCUCCUAUCAUUGUGGCACUAAGGAAUGAGUGUCCGUAAAGAUUGGCCGACAAAUAUCUUUCGAUACCUAAAGUCACAUUCACAACAAUUAUUCAUUGCAUGGAGUGGUUGUGUGAAACAAAGUAAAGUUGUCAUUAAACAAUUUCAUAAGGGAUAUAUGCUUCUUGUUACUAUGAGAUUUAUACACAUGAAGGGCAUCAAAAUCCUGCUUGGAUGUGGUUUUGUGAAGGUGAUGUUACACAUACUUGAGCACCUAAACACGCACUACUCAACCCACCAGAGAUACCAUAAGUAUGGCUAAUUGACCAAUUUACAAGUUUGACAGAAGGAGAAGUCAAUGAACUUGGAAGAAGUGGUUUCCAACUAAAGAAAGCUCUUAUAACAUAGUCUUUAUAUCAAAUUAGAUCCUUAUCAUGUCAUAACAUGUAAACACUUCAACUCUUGAGAAGCAUGCAUUGUCAACCUCGGUGCCACACAAACAAGAUAGAAAAAUAAUGUAUGCUAGGACAACAUUUUUGGCUCAUGCACAAUAGAGGAUGGAAAAUGUUGCAACAAUUCAAACAACAACAAGAGUGGUUAAUAUCAGCAUUAUUUGUCAUAAGGAGGAGUUGGUGUAGCUUUAAUCAUCACAAAACAACUAUCGAGUGAGAAUUUCACAAUAUCUAGUUUGCACUUGUGUUGAUUUCAUCAAGCAUCAGGAUUUCAAGUGUGUAAGCAUUUGUUAUUCAUGUAUAUAAACAUUUACAAGUUGGUGGAUGGUGACCUCUGCAUGAUCCAACCAACAUUGUCCAAGUUAAAGGUUGUUGAUACAAUCAGUAGGUAUGAGGGUGCUCUAAUUGCAACACCAACAACUUAAAAAGACAAAGUGGCUUAGACAAUAAAGGUUGUUAUAUUCAACUCCACUAGUUCUGUUCUAUUUUUAGGUUUUUUUAAUUGCCAGUUUUAAAGCCUGGCCUAAGAAAAUGUACUUUGUUUUCUCAGACUUACAGAAUGUAGUUGUCAAUUUUUAGUUUGUCAUGUCUACUGUGUUUCUGGUCUUUACCAUGAAAACAUUUUUUCAUUCAAUGUAUCAAGUGUAUUUUGAAUUGUACUUUUUUUCAAAAUAAAUGGUUCAUAGAAUAUUCUAAGUAUAUUCUACGAAUAUUCUAUGAAUAUUUGGCCUCUAAAAAGAACGCACUCCUUUCUGUUUAAGACAUGUUCUAAGUAUAUUCUCCUGUUGUCCAAUGGUCCUCCCCAUGGUGUCUUAAUCCACCAUGUAAAUGAUGUAUUCUACUGUGGUAGAAUAUGCUAUUGUGGUGGUUUAUUCUAGCAUGUGACUUCUGUUGGAUAUACCUUGCUUCUGCUCCAUGAUUGCAACUUGUUCACGUUGGAUGUGCCUCGUCAACUUGUUCGAACGUGUUGGACAUAAAAACACCAAGUUGGCUAGGCACACGCAAGCGCCAGAGCACCAGUUCUCUUCUUCAAGUACAUAAAUAGAGCUCUAGUGCUGCAGUAAUGUACACACAGCUGUGCAAUGAAGAUCUUCAUUCCCCUCGUUCUAACACUGGUUUUUGCAAUCGCUCCUGCACAAUCGAGCCUCCCAAAGCCGGGAGAAUUGGAUCUAUCAAAGUGCACCGAGGUGAUCCGGUUCUACUUGCACGACCAGUUCAAUGGGAGCAAUCCGACAACAGCAAUCGUCCUGCCUCCUCGUAACAAUGAAACGUUGUUUGGUCAGGUUGCCAUUUUUGAUGACAAGCUGACUACGGAGUCCUCGAUCAACUCCAAGCCUGUGGGAAGAGCCAAGGGUUUUCUGGUGAUAGAUUCGCUGAGCAAAAGCAGCUUUCUCCAGAGCAUGACGGUGGAGCUGGAAGGGCGGAAAGGUACAAUAGUGCUCCAUGGUCAGAACCCCUUCACUGAGUCCCGAAGGGAAAUAGCCGUUGUUGGGGGCACAGGAGAGUUCAGAAACGUUCAGGGCUACGCAUUAACGAGCACAACUGGAGCUGAACCUGGUGGGCUUAUUGCAAUCUACGAAGUUCAUCUGGUGAGGUUCUGGGAAUGCAUCUCGAAAUAUAUUUUACCAUUUCAUAUUGUAAACUCAGAUCCCUAGACCAUUAAAAAAUGAAUAUGCUUUAUUUAAUUAUUAUGCAUCUUAUAGAAAACGUGGGUAACCUAUUAAGAGUCCUAGGGCGAAGAAACCACCAUCGAAUGCGAACCACCGUUAAUUCUUGCUAUAGCAGUUCAGUGACUCUUCUAGUUCUGAAAUACCACACUCUCCAAAAUUUCUGAGACCUGAUCCGCGCAAUUCGGUUUCUUUGUUUCCUUCAACUUGGGUUGUUCUCCUGCCUUGUUUCUCUUCGUUUUCCUCCAUUUCUCGUCACAUUGCUUUGUGUGACCGAUCAGGCUGUUCCCGAUGGAGUGGACGUGCUGAGCCUUUCAGCGCUGGAACUUGACAUUCAUGAGCACCUUCGACCUGGCGCUGCUGUCGGCCGUCAAGGCGGGCGUGUUUGUGACCCAGGCUGUUGGAAACGGGGGACCGUAUCCCCGGACCAGCGUGUCCUUCAGCCCCUGGAUAUUCUCCGUAGCAGCGGCCACCCACGACAGGACCUACCCAAACGCCAUCACCCUCGGGAGCAUCACGGGAACCGGCCUCGCAUGUAAGAUACACGCAAGUGUACUGCCUUCUGUGUCUUUUCUCGUCGUUAUCUUGCCCCUCCGCCACCUUUUUUGUGCCCGCCAGCUGCUCCGUUGACGUGCCAUGCUUGCCAGCUGAUGUAAUGUGAGGCUUUCUGGGUGUUGUUUGCAGCCGGGACAAAUGGCAGCUUCAGCCUUAUCACCGCAGCAGAUGCCACCAAUGGGAAUGUGUCCAGGAUCCUUGUCGACGAGUGCCAGGACGCCGGGAACUACAACAGGUCGCUCGUCAGCGGCAGGAUUCUCGUGUGCAGCUACAGCCUGCGUUAUCUGUUCGGGGUGUCGACGCUGGCCGACGCGGUUGUGGCUGCGCAAGAGCUCAGAGCGUCCGGGCUUGUGUUUCUGGCCACGCCCGACCUCGACGGCCACAGCUUCCCGCCGUCCCCGAUCGGCUUCCCGGCUAUCAUCAUCCAGCUCCAAAGACUCCGCGGUAAAGUUCAUCCGCCACCUUUCUUGGAUCUUAACUAUCUCACUGCAUUUGCCGCCAGGUGUUGCUCCACUACUACAACACAUCCACGAGAAGAGACAAGUCAGGCAGGCUCUCGAGCUCCGCGGCCAUGGCCACCAUAGCAGGAGGCCGCGAAGCUCUUUUCAGCUUCUCGACACCAAGGUGGCGACGUACUCGUCCCGGACGUGAAUAGCAACAACCUGGACGUGGCUGAUGUGCUCAAGCCCAACAGGCUGCCUCCCGGGAACCUCAUCUGGGCGGCGUGGUCCUCAAUCGGGAGCGACGAGCGGGAGUUCGAAGGCCAGGAGUUUGCGCUUAUCUCCGGGACGAGCAUGGCCACGCCCCACAUCGCCGGCAUCGCGGCGCUCGUCAAGCAGCGCUUCCCGUCGCUCAGCCCCGCCGGGAUCGCGUCGGCCAUGUCCACUACCGCUCUCACUCUCGACUCCAAUGGCCAGCCACUACUCGCACAGCACCCCACGAGCAAUGUCGACUCGCCCGGCCACCCCAUUCGACUUUGGAGCCGGUUUUGUGAAUCCCGCAGCGGCGAUUGAUCCUGGCUUGAUCUUCGAUGCCGGUGAGUUUUUCUAUUCGAUCGCGUUCGUCUCGACUAAGGUGUUUUUGCUGCCAGGAUUCCGAGACUACAUCCAGUUCUUGUGCUCCAUUCCGGCUCUCAGCAACUCGACAGUGUCAGCCGCGACUGGAUCGUCUUGCUUGUCAUCGCCAUCGUCACCCUCUUCGUCCUCCUCAAACACCACCGCUGCCGCCAGCAUUUCUUCCAGCUUUGCCUCGGACCUUAACACUCCAUACGUGAGUAUCGCGAGCCUCAAUGGCGCCAGAUCUGUGGUGAGAAUCGCGACAAGCGUGAGCGAGAGGGACGAGGCUUACAAUGCUACAUUGGUCGUCCCCGCCGGGGUCUCAGUGACGGUAAAACCAUCGAGUUUCUCCGUGCGCGGUGGACAAUUGGUCAAGUUGACGCUCACUCUCAAGGCUCUAGUCACCUCCUCGGCUCCCAGUUUUGGGGAGCUCCUCCUGGAUGGCGAUCGGGGACACAGGCUUCAUCUCCCCAUUUGCGUCAGCUCCAAGAUCGCCUCCUCCGGUACCUCCUGAAGCUUUUCAAUGUUUUCUCACAAAGCAGAUCUAACCUCAGCCCAAGUGUUCAUAAGCUUAAAAAACGAGUAUAAAUUCUCGCAAGUUUCGAGAGACAUCCAUACUCGCCUCCUCCUCGUAAACCAUUCUUCUCAAUGUUACCUUGCAGAUGAAGAGGGUGUGUGUUCUCUCACGAAGCAACGUCAGCCCAAGUAUCCUGAGAAGAAGAAUUAUUAUAAAUGCUCGCAGAGAAGGACAAGCGCCAAUGAAAAUGAGAAAUCAUCACCCUACACGACAUCCAUACCUCGCAUUGAUCCUAUCAUCGAACGAAAACUCUAAACGAAAU